UAUAUUUUUUUUCAAAUAAAUUUACAGGUAAUGCAACAAUUUUUUGGUUUAGUCAACACCUUUCUACAGAACCACCAGGAUACAUGGAAAAGAAGAUUAGGAGUGCGUACAUACAAGGUAGUUCCAUUUACUCCAAGUGCCGGUGUUCUUGAAUGGGUUAAUGGCAGUCUUCCUCUUGGAGAAUAUCUUAUAGGAAGCACGAGAAAUGGAAGGGGCCAUGGUCGCUAUGGAGUGGGGGACUGGUCAUUUCUCAAAUGCCGAGAACACAUGGCAAAUGCCUGUCAUGCAUCAUUUUUUCUUGGAGAGGUUUUUGCAACCGGCUGACUGGUUUGAGAAGAGACUUUCAUACACGCGAAGUGUUGCUGCUAGUUCAAUGGUUGGUUAUAUUGUUGGCCUCGGAGAUCGACAUUCUAUGAAUAUCUUAAUUGAUCAAAUGACUGCAGAAGUUGUUCGUAUAGAUCUUGGCGUUGCCUUUGAACAAGGCUUGAUGCUCAAAACACCAGAACGGACUUACAAGGGACAUCAUUGAUGGCAUGGGUGUCACCGGAGUGGAAGGGUUUUUCAGAAGAUGCUGUGAAGAAACUCUUUCUGUUAUGAGGACAAAUAAAGAAGCACUACUGACCAUCGUUGAGGUUUUUAUCCAUGAUCCACUUUAUAAGUGGGCUUUUAUCACCUCUGAAAGCUUUUUGCAGCGUCAAAAGGAAACGGAUGAUGACUUGAAUUUAAGCUUUGAAGGCUCGCAAGAUGAAUAUGAAGGUAACAAGGAUGCUGCACGUGCACUGAUGCGUGUAAAACAAAACUCGAUGGAUAUGAAGAAGGGAAAUGCGAAGCAUACAUGGACAGGUUCAACUACUUAUACAAGAUGCGAUUGAUCCCGAGCGUCUUUGUCAACUGUUUCCUGGAUGGGGAGCGUGGUUAUGAUGGAUUCCUUCGUCGUCUUAGUCCCAAAAACUUUGAAUCCUCUUUGUACAGGCGGCUUUUGAAUGUAUUUCUUUUUGUAUAUAUACCCGAGCCGUUGUAUCGGGUGUAAGUUGGUCCGUAUAUAGUUCCAUAGGCUCCGAUGUAUAGGCCUACAGCUGGUGGUUGCACAACUUGCACCAGCUCAACUAGUGAUGUAUAUUAGGAAAAUGAUUUUCAUUUCACAAAAAGAAUAAAGUUACACUUUUUAGUAUGUAUACAAGCUGUGAAAGCCAGAUGUACAGUAACAUCUUUCUAACUAAGGAAAUCAUAUCAUAAC
Non-coding RNA from Malus domestica (apple), 1237 nucleotides. The record is from RefSeq and is a predicted model, not a curated record. NCBI's taxonomy places the organism in Eukaryota, Viridiplantae, Streptophyta, Magnoliopsida, Rosales, Rosaceae.